RNAcentral lists this ribosomal RNA (293 nucleotides) under uncultured bacterium. Its description in RNAcentral is "partial 16S ribosomal RNA". It matches the Rfam family "Bacterial small subunit ribosomal RNA", at positions 775 to 1067 of the family's 1533-position model. The record is from RNAcentral.
GGAUUAGAUACCCUGGUAGUCCACGCUGUAAACGAUGGGUACUAGACGUAGGGGGAGUAAUUCCCUUUGUGUCGCAGCUAACGCAAUCAGUACCCCGCCUGGGGAGUACGGCCGCAAGGUUAAAACUCAAAGGAAUUGACGGGGGCCCGCACAAGCGGUGGAGCAUGUGGUUCAAUUCGAUGCAACGCGAAAAACCUUACCUGCCCUUGACAUCCUCGGAACUUGGCAGAGAUGCCUUGGUGCCUUCGGGAACCGAGUGACAGGUGCUGCAUGGCUGUCGUCAGCUCGUGCCG